UUAAAGAUCUAAAUUUGAAAGAAGAAAAAACAUGCAGUGUUGCUGGUCCUCCAGGAACGUGGUUAAGAAACACUGAUCUAAAGAUUCUCUACCAUUAGCCAUCUCAAAAGGGGUUUUAUAGACUAUGACCAUACAUCCAACCGGCCUCACAACCCCAUGACCAUGUGUAACCACACCAGCCCAGGACUUCCACAUUCAGUAUCUUCUCCACUAAGAUCAGGGGUGCUCAAAAUCAGUCCUGGAGGGCCGGUGUCUUGCAGAAUUUAGCUUCAACUUGCCUCAACACACCUGACAGGAAGUUUCUAGAAGGCCUAGUUAAAGCUUGAUUAGCUGGUUCAAGUGUGUCUAAUUGGGUUUGGAGCUAAACUCUGCAGGACAAAAGCCCUUCAGGAUCGAAUUUGGGCACCCCUGACCAAGAUGGUCUGAGAUCAUUCAAAUGGACAGCUGCUGCAACAAUCAGUUAACAGAACCAAAGAAUUUCCACACAGACUGUUAGAAAUCAACUCAAGGAAGCUGAUCUGCAUGCUCAGUAUCCUCAUUAAUAUUUGACUGUGCAAAUGCUCACAUUCGAUGGCGCCUAGUGCUUUGGAGAGGAGUUCUCUUCACAGAUGAACUCUGGUUUUCACUGUACUGGGCAAACUGGCAGACAACAUGUGUGGUGUCAAGUUGGUGUAGGUGUGCUGUGGUCAAAGUGGUAUGGUACAUACCUGUCAACCCUCCAUUUUUUUCCAGAAUUCUCCCAUAUUGGACUAUUCUAUACCUCUAUCAUCCCGUUUAAGUAUUUCCCAGUAUUUCUCCCACAUUUUAAAUCUUUCUAUAAAGAAAUUCCCACUAUACACAUAUGUUUGCUACUUCCACCUGCAGGCAGAUCAUUCACUUGACCGGCAAACAAGAAGAAUAGUAGAAGACAAAAUAGUAGUAGAAGAAGAAAAAAUAGUUGUAGAAGAAAAUAAACAAAUAGCAGUAGAAGAAGAACAGCAUACCAAUGAUGGCGGAACGCAAGAGUGUUGACCUUGGAGUGCCUCUUAAAAAAAGGUGAAAAUGUUGUGUAAAUAUCUCUACCAGUGGGAGGAGGCUUUCUCAUAUAUAUAACGAAGAGCAAGUUCGGGACAUGUCACGCUUAUAAAAAUUGUUGUACAGACUUUAGUAUAUCGCCCGAGGAAAGAGUUAUUGAGCCAGCACGAGAAGUCGUCAAAACAUAAGUGUGCCCAAGAGGCGCAUAAAACUGCGCAGCCGAUUACUCAGUUCGUAAUAGUACAUUCCGAGGCUAAUCAAGUGACCACAGCAGAGAUCAAAAUGGCAGUGUGCCAAAAACAAUAUAUCCUUAAGUUUUUGUGACUGUAGCUCGAAAGUACUCCGCGGGAAAACCAAAAGCCACACAGCUUAUCAAAGGUGCCAUAGCUGUGGACCUUGAUGAAAAAGUAGUAAUGAUGUGCAAAUCUCAGCCUUUUUCAUUGUUGCGCAACGAGUCAAACUACAGAAAAACUAACAAAGAGUUUGUCAGAGGAAUGAGGAAUGCCAAAGUUCGUGAACUGAUAAGCCAUCUCAGUGAUCCAGUUAUAAAGAUGUACUUCAUGUUCCUGAGUGUUGCCCUUAAGCCUUUGUCUGAAUUUACGAUUGCAUUUCAGAGGGAGUGCAGAUUCACAGGCUUGAAGAGAUGUCCAGGCUGAUCAGGCGUUUUUUUUU
Long non-coding RNA from Danio aesculapii, 1686 nucleotides. RefSeq lists it as uncharacterized. NCBI's taxonomy places the organism in Eukaryota, Metazoa, Chordata, Actinopteri, Cypriniformes, Danionidae. The transcript has 3 exons. The record is from RefSeq and is a predicted model, not a curated record.